This is a long non-coding RNA of Clarias gariepinus (North African catfish), 400 nucleotides long. RefSeq lists it as uncharacterized. The record is from RefSeq and is a predicted model, not a curated record. The transcript has 3 exons. Lineage: Eukaryota; Metazoa; Chordata; Actinopteri; Siluriformes; Clariidae.
CUGAAGUUUGUGCUUCUGAUUGGGUGAGCACCGUUGUGACACUGCCCGGAGACGGCCGCCACUUGCCCCUCUGAUUGGCUGACCAUUAUCGUAACACCGCCCCUGAGACAGCCCCUGAUUGCCAGAAUCUUCUUGAGAGAGGAGAUUUGCGCUUCUGAUUGGCUCAGAAAACCUUGUUACACAACCCACUACGCUUUCCGGAAUUUUCCUGAGGUUCAUCAUUUUAGCUGCAGACUGAGGUGAUUCGUCCAUAUUUCUAACUGCUGACUGAGACCGAGGUGAUUAGUUAAUAUAUUUAACUGCUGACUGAGGUGAGUAGGAUAAGUGACUGAGGUGAGUAGGAUCCAUUACUGAGGUGAGUACCAUUAGUUCAUAUUUUUAACUGCUGCUGGAGGUAAGU